GACGUAGGGCGCGAGCGUUGUCCGGAUUUAUUGGGCGUAAAGAGCUCGUAGGCGGCUUGUCGCGUCGACUGUGAAAACCCGCGGCUCAACUGUGGGCUUGCAGUCGAUACGGGCAGGCUGGAGUUCGGUAGGGGAGACUGGAAUUCCCGGUGUAGUGGUGAAAUGCGUAGAUAUCGGGAGGAACACCAGUGGCGAAGGCGGCUUUCUGGCCUGUUCUUGACGCUGAGGCGCGGAAAG
This 237-nucleotide ribosomal RNA is filed under the name uncultured bacterium. RNAcentral's name for it is "partial 16S ribosomal RNA". It matches the Rfam family "Bacterial small subunit ribosomal RNA", at positions 524 to 760 of the family's 1533-position model. The record is from RNAcentral.